RNAcentral lists this ribosomal RNA (753 nucleotides) under Staphylococcus aureus. Its description in RNAcentral is "partial 23S ribosomal RNA". It matches the Rfam family "Bacterial large subunit ribosomal RNA", at positions 252 to 1003 of the family's 2925-position model. Lineage: Bacteria; Bacillati; Bacillota; Bacilli; Caryophanales; Staphylococcaceae. The record is from RNAcentral.
AGCGAAACGGGAAGAGCCCAAACCAACAAGCUUGCUUGUUGGGGUUGUAGGACACUCUAUACGGAGUUACAAAGGACGACAUUAGACGAAUCAUCUGGAAAGAUGAAUCAAAGAAGGUAAUAAUCCUGUAGUCGAAAAUGUUGUCUCUCUUGAGUGGAUCCUGAGUACGACGGAGCACGUGAAAUUCCGUCGGAAUCUGGGAGGACCAUCUCCUAAGGCUAAAUACUCUCUAGUGACCGAUAGUGAACCAGUACCGUGAGGGAAAGGUGAAAAGCACCCCGGAAGGGGAGUGAAAUAGAACCUGAAACCGUGUGCUUACAAGUAGUCAGAGCCCGUUAAUGGGUGAUGGCGUGCCUUUUGUAGAAUGAACCGGCGAGUUACGAUUUGAUGCAAGGUUAAGCAGUAAAUGUGGAGCCGUAGCGAAAGCGAGUCUGAAUAGGGCGUUUAGUAUUUGGUCGUAGACCCGAAACCAGGUGAUCUACCCUUGGUCAGGUUGAAGUUCAGGUAACACUGAAUGGAGGACCGAACCGACUUACGUUGAAAAGUGAGCGGAUGAACUGAGGGUAGCGGAGAAAUUCCAAUCGAACCUGGAGAUAGCUGGUUCUCUCCGAAAUAGCUUUAGGGCUAGCCUCAAGUGAUGAUUAUUGGAGGUAGAGCACUGUUUGGACGAGGGGCCCCUCUCGGGUUACCGAAUUCAGACAAACUCCGAAUGCCAAUUAAUUUAACUUGGGAGUCAGAACAUGGGUGAUAAGG